This 495-nucleotide ribosomal RNA is filed under the name uncultured bacterium. Its description in RNAcentral is "partial 16S ribosomal RNA". It matches the Rfam family "Bacterial small subunit ribosomal RNA", at positions 28 to 507 of the family's 1533-position model. The record is from RNAcentral.
GACGAACGCUGGCGGCGUGCCUAAUGCAUGCAAGUAGAACGCUGAAGGAGGAGCUUGCUCUUCUGGAUGAGUUGCGAACGGGUGAGUAACGCGUAGGUAACCUGCCUGGUAGCGGGGGAUAACUAUUGGAAACGAUAGCUAAUACCGCAUAAGAGUAGAUGUUGCAUGACAUUUACUUAAAAGGUGCAAUUGCAUCACUACCAGAUGGACCUGCGUUGUAUUAGCUAGUUGGUGGGGUAACGGCUUACCAAGGCGACGAUACAUAGCCGACCUGAGAGGGUGAUCGGCCACACUGGGACUGAGACACGGCCCAGACUCCUACGGGAGGCAGCAGUAGGGAAUCUUCGGCAAUGGACGGAAGUCUGACCGAGCAACGACGCGUGAGUGAAGAAGGUUUUCGGAUCGUAAAGCUCUGUUGUAAGAGAAGAACGAGUGUGAGAGUGGAAAGUUCACACUGUGACGGUAUCUUACCAGAAAGGGACGGCUAACUACGUG